GACGAACGCUGGCGGCGUGCCUAACACAUGCAAGUCGAACGGAAAGGCCCUGCUUUUGUGGGGUGCUCGAGUGGCGAACGGGUGAGUAACACGUGAGUAACCUGCCCUUGACUUUGGGAUAACUUCAGGAAACUGGGGCUCAUACCGGAUAGGAGCUCCUGCUUCAUGGUGGGGGUUGGAAAGUUUCGGCGGUUGGGGAUGGACUCGCGGCUUAUCAGCUUGUUGGUGGGGUAGUGGCUUACCAAGGCUUUGACGGGUAGCCGGCCUGAGAGGGUGACCGGCCAAAUUGGGACUGAGAUACGGCCCAGACUCCUACGGGAGGCAGCAGUGGGGAAGAUUGCACAAUGGGAGGAAGCCUGAUGCAGCAACGCCGCGUGCGGGAUGACGGCCUUCGGGUUGUAAACCGAUUUCGCCUGUGACGAAGCGUGAGUGACGGUAAUGGGUAAAGAAGCACCGGCUAACUACGUG
This 468-nucleotide ribosomal RNA is filed under the name uncultured bacterium. RNAcentral describes it as "partial 16S ribosomal RNA". It matches the Rfam family "Bacterial small subunit ribosomal RNA", at positions 28 to 507 of the family's 1533-position model. The record is from RNAcentral.